AUUGAACGCUAGCGGGAUGCUUUACACAUGCAAGUCGAACGAGUGGCGGACGGGUGAGUAAUAUAUCGGAACCUGCCCAGUAGCGGGGGAUAACUACUCGAAAGGGUGGCUAAUACCGCAUACUAUUGGAUGGGCCGAUAUGGGAUUAGCUAGUUGGUGGGGUAAAGGCUCACCAAGGCAACGAUCCGUAGCUGGUCUGAGAGGAUGACCGGCCACACUGGGACUGAGACACGGCCCAGACUCCUACGGGAGGCAGCAGUGGGGAAUUUUGGACAAUGGGGGAAACCCUGAUCCAGCCAUCCCGCGUGUAUGAGAAGGCCUUCGGGUUGUAAAGUACUUUUGGCAGAGAAGCGGUAUCUGCAGAAUAAGCACCGGCUAACUCCGUGCCAGCAGCCGCGGUAAUAC
RNAcentral lists this ribosomal RNA (405 nucleotides) under uncultured bacterium. RNAcentral describes it as "partial 16S ribosomal RNA". It matches the Rfam family "Bacterial small subunit ribosomal RNA", at positions 30 to 526 of the family's 1533-position model. The record is from RNAcentral.